CAUCAACCUUUCCCCUUUCUUUUGGUACCGGGAGGUAGCCAACCAAAAAAAACCCCACUGAGUUUUAGUAAGGAGCCAUGAGUCCCUUUACAUGAACAUGGGUUUGGUUUUUCAAAACCGUGGUAAUUGAGCUUUGGUUUUUCAAAAUCAGAAUUAGUUUGGUUUGAGACUUCAGUUUACCCCAGCAACCCAAGUUCUUGCAGCUUUAGAUGAAGGGACUGUACCAGAAAAUAGCUCUAAACAAUUAGGGGGGCAGAUUUUCAAAUAUUAUCAGUUCCCAUUUAGAUACCUAAAUAAGAGUCAGAUUUUCAAAAGUGACAAGCACACAGCAACUCCCAUUAUGCUUCUGUAGGCCCCCUUUACUAGAGGGGCCUCACUCUGAACUUUAUUGGAAGUGUUCCAGUUGGGAAGAUCCUGUGUGCUGCAAUCUAGCCUUAGAGACUACAACUCCCAUGAUGCCUUGGGGAAAGAGUGAGAAACUUCCUCUUGCAGGGAGUGCGGGGAGAGCAGGAGGUGGGCUCCAUUUUGGGAAAGGAGUGAGAUUGCUGGUGUGGACAUCUGUCCAUACCAGGCACUGCUGCUAACUGCUGCUUGGAGCCUGCUGGGGCUUUGAUUGGGCAGGGAGCUUCAGAGAUGAUUGGUGGUUUCACUGGAGCCAGGGCAGAGACUAUGACUGUACCUAGAGCUGACUGAGGUGGGCCUGCAGUGAAGGAACUGAGAGUAACCCCCACUCUUGUUUGGGAAAGUACUUGCAAGGGAUGGGGCACAGUAGAGAGACUGAGUCUGAGGAGAGGCAGAAUGAUCAUCCCAUUGAACCAGGACCCAGAGCUGCUGAAAUUUGGUGGGGUCAACUCCAGUCAUCAGAGGGGUUGUAUUGUGUUGGCUGUACUGAUACACAGAACCAACAGAGUGCUGUCUCCAGCUUCAGAUAUUCAAGCAUGUCCACUCAAGCAAGCGUCUAGGACUCUGAAAUCCAGAAGAGUGUACACUCCGGGGUGGGGUAAAUGGUGGCAGUGUAAAUGCCAGUUAGAUAAGUUUCAUUUAUUACUGUAUACUAAAUUUUAUUGAUUUUUUCAACUGCCCCCUGUGGAUUUAAAUUAGUAGUGACAUAUAAUUUUAGUCUAUUAUACCCUGUUUCUUUAAAUUGUUAAAUAAAAGUGUGUUAACUCUAAUUUAAGUAUUUUGGAUGUAUAUUAUUUAUAAUUGGUAUUUUUGAGUGAGACCCAUGUCACAGAUUAUUAUUAUUAUUAGAAUAGGUUUAUUUCUGGAGGUUCCCAAGGCAUGCCACUGAGUGUGUACAGGGGCCAGCCAGGUACAGGCGCCGCCAAUUGUAAAUUCCUUUAGGAGUAAAGGAACUGCAGCAGAGGGAUGGAUAGAGGAUUCCCACCUAUCCAGCAUCACCACUGGGAUACUCAGGAUCUCCUUUAACGUCAACAACAUCAGGUGCCCAGGCACACAGGUGCCCUGUGAGCAGUUGCCAGAUCUUUCUUUUAUCCAGUGGUUCAGGGCUGCACAAAUGGCUGGCAGUGAUGGUGUCUUGAGCUUGUUGUAAUUAAAACCAACACCUUUUCUAACUGGUUUAAGACGCUCACUUCUUCUGAAAUUGCUCACUGCUGUAAACUCUGAGAAUGUGCCUGUGUAACUCCGACGGACCUGCCCCACUCCGCCAUUACAUGGGACAGAACACCACACUCAGAAGAUGUGUGGGUUAUACAUAUUUCAGUGAAUCAAUGAGGUACCAAGUUAUUAUCAGCAAGUGUAACUUACAUGGAAACAGUGCAGAAGACAGCAUGUUGCUUUCAAGUGAACAAUCAUGCAGUAGUGAAUCCCUUGCUGCAGACUAGCCCCAUAAACUAAGCACUUUGCUAUGUAAUGAAGCAGCUCAGUUGAUUGGUAUCACACUUGGAGAGGAUGUUUGGCAUAAUCUAGCCUUGAAAGGACAGUUGGGGUUUCUGCUGUCUUCAGAGAGCUGUGGGGGAAAAGUCUUGUGACUAAUGAAACUGGCAAAUAAAUAAUAAUACCUAACUGUUAUUUAGCACUUUCCAUCAGCAGAUCUUCCAAAGGAAGUCAGUGUCAUUAUUCCUAUUUUAUAACAAAGGUGAAGUGACUUUCUCACGGUAAUCCAGCAGGUCAGUGGCAGAGCUGGGAAUGAAACCUGGGUCUCAGGCCAGAGGCCUCUCCACUAGGCUGCACUACCUCAAUCAUAAGCUCCUAAUCAAAUCAAUCAUGUUUUCAGGGGUCUGUGAAAAAAUGAAGUUGGUGGUUCAAUUUUUUCUGCAGAUUUUUGGUAGAGGGCAGAAUUAUAUGUAUGUACAGUGCCU
This is a non-coding RNA of Chrysemys picta bellii (western painted turtle), 2321 nucleotides long. The record is from RefSeq and is a predicted model, not a curated record. NCBI's taxonomy places the organism in Eukaryota, Metazoa, Chordata, Testudines, Emydidae.